AGAACGAACGCUGGCGGCAGGCUUAACACAUGCAAGUCGAACGGUUGUAGCAAUACAGCAGUGGCGCACGGGUGAGUAACGCGUGGGAAUGUACCUUAGAGUUCGGAAUAACAGCGGGAAACUGCUGCUAAUACCGGAUAUUCUCCUCGGAGGAAAGAUUUAUCGCUCUAAGAUCAGCCCGCGUCAGAUUAGCUAGUUGGUGGGGUAAUGGCCUACCAAGGCUCCGAUCUGUAGCUGGUCUGAGAGGACGACCAGCCACACUGGAACUGAGACACGGUCCAGACUCCUACGGGAGGCAGCAGUGGGGAAUAUUGGACAAUGGGCGAAAGCCUGAUCCAGCCAUGCCGCGUGAAUGAUGAAGGCCUUAGGGUUGUAAAGUUCUUUUGUCAGGGAAGAUAAUGACGGUACCUGAAGAAUAAGCACCGGCUAACUUCGUGCCAGCAGCCGC
RNAcentral lists this ribosomal RNA (448 nucleotides) under uncultured bacterium. Its description in RNAcentral is "SSU rRNA". It matches the Rfam family "Bacterial small subunit ribosomal RNA", at positions 26 to 518 of the family's 1533-position model. The record is from RNAcentral.